This is a long non-coding RNA of Pteropus alecto (black flying fox), 523 nucleotides long. RefSeq lists it as uncharacterized. The transcript has 3 exons. NCBI's taxonomy places the organism in Eukaryota, Metazoa, Chordata, Mammalia, Chiroptera, Pteropodidae. The record is from RefSeq and is a predicted model, not a curated record.
UCUAGCCUUCCUCCUUCCUGUGGCCUGCAAUGUGGAUGUGGUGGUGAGGUGAGCAUGACAAAAAAUAAACGAAGACCAGAGGUAGCAAAGCAACAAGAUGGAGUAGCCUGGGCUCCCAAAAAGCUGUUAUACCAUUCUUGGACUGUGAGAGUGCGGUCUGGCAUGAUUCUUUGUAACUGGCAUUGUCAAUAAACAAGAGACAGAAAGAAGAUGUGCCUGCACUCUGGAAGAGCAACAGCUGUAGAAAGGACUGAUGUGGCUGGCAGAGCUCCUGGUGAAGAGAAAUGCCUACACAGCUGGCACCUACAAAGGCCAGUUUAUGCAUUACCGUCAUUACUGCAGCUUCCCUGGGAGCCUCAGAGGGCAAACACAUGGUGUGUGUGAAAACUACAUAAAGAAUCACUAGGAUACCUGCUACAACUAGAGACGUCUGGGACUACCAGAGAUCUAUUGAAUCUGUAUCUUUGGUUUGAGAACCACCGAACAUUUCACCUUCAAUAAAUAGCAAUUUAGUAUGAAAAUA